This 228-nucleotide unclassified non-coding RNA is filed under the name Hevea brasiliensis (rubber tree). The record is from RNAcentral. Lineage: Eukaryota; Viridiplantae; Streptophyta; Magnoliopsida; Malpighiales; Euphorbiaceae.
UUGGAUCCCCAAAUCUAGGGUUCUUUUAAAUCAGGUAAAAUUCGGCAUGCAAAUCCUUUAUUUAAUCCUCAAAAUUCAAUCUUUUCACUUAGAUUUAUUUUUUUCACAGCUAUUAACUCCAUUUCUUUCCUUCCUUUUUUAGUUUUCUUUUCCUUUUUUAGGAAACGUGGGUUUUGAUUUAGUUCUCUAGUAUAGUGAUUGAAAUUAUUUACCUUUGGUGUUUGUUUA